RNAcentral lists this ribosomal RNA (473 nucleotides) under uncultured bacterium. RNAcentral's name for it is "bacterial SSU rRNA". It matches the Rfam family "Bacterial small subunit ribosomal RNA", at positions 335 to 801 of the family's 1533-position model. The record is from RNAcentral.
ACUCCUACGGGAGGCAGCAGUAGGGAAUCUUCCACAAUGGGCGCAAGCCUGAUGGAGCAACACCGCGUGAGUGAAGAAGGGUUUCAGCUCGUAAAGCUCUGUUGUUAAAGAAGAACACGUAUGAGAGUAACUGUUCAUACGUUGACGGUAUUUAACCAGAAAGUCACGGCUAACUACGUGCCAGCAGCCGCGGUAAUACGUAGGUGGCAAGCGUUAUCCGGAUUUAUUGGGCGUAAAGAGAGUGCAGGCGGUUUUCUAAGUCUGAUGUGAAAGCCUUCGGCUUAACCGGAGAAGUGCAUCGGAAACUGGAUAACUUGAGUGCAGAAGAGGGUAGUGGAACUCCAUGUGUAGCGGUGGAAUGCGUAGAUAUAUGGAAGAACACCAGUGGCGAAGGCGGCUACCUGGUCUGCAACUGACGCUGAGACUCGAAAGCAUGGGUAGCGAACAGGAUUAGAUACCCUGGUAGGAUAGCG